This 811-nucleotide ribosomal RNA is filed under the name Luteimicrobium subarcticum. RNAcentral's name for it is "bacterial SSU rRNA". It matches the Rfam family "Bacterial small subunit ribosomal RNA", at positions 37 to 859 of the family's 1533-position model. The record is from RNAcentral. Lineage: Bacteria; Bacillati; Actinomycetota; Actinomycetes; Micrococcales.
UGGCGGCGUGCUUAACACAUGCAAGUCGAACGGUGAAGCCCAGCUUGCUGGGUGGAUCAGUGGCGAACGGGUGAGUAACACGUGAGCAACCUGCCCCUGACUCUGGGAUAACUCCGGGAAACCGGGGCUAAUACUGGAUAUGAGGCGUCCCUGCAUGGGGGUGUCUGGAAAGAUUUAUCGGUCAGGGAUGGGCUCGCGGCCUAUCAGCUUGUUGGUGGGGUAGUGGCCUACCAAGGCGACGACGGGUAGCCGGCCUGAGAGGGCGACCGGCCACACUGGGACUGAGACACGGCCCAGACUCCUACGGGAGGCAGCAGUGGGGAAUAUUGCACAAUGGGCGAAAGCCUGAUGCAGCGACGCCGCGUGAGGGAUGAAGGCCUUCGGGUUGUAAACCUCUUUCAGCAGGGAAGAAGCGCAAGUGACGGUACCUGCAGAAGAAGCGCCGGCUAACUACGUGCCAGCAGCCGCGGUAAUACGUAGGGCGCAAGCGUUGUCCGGAAUUAUUGGGCGUAAAGAGCUCGUAGGCGGUUUGUCGCGUCUGGUGUGAAAACUCAAGGCUCAACCUUGAGCUUGCAUCGGGUACGGGCAGACUAGAGUGCGGUAGGGGAGACUGGAAUUCCUGGUGUAGCGGUGGAAUGCGCAGAUAUCAGGAGGAACACCGAUGGCGAAGGCAGGUCUCUGGGCCGCAACUGACGCUGAGGAGCGAAAGCAUGGGGAGCGAACAGGAUUAGAUACCCUGGUAGUCCAUGCCGUAAACGUUGGGCACUAGGUGUGGGGCUCAUUCCACGAGUUCCGUGCCGCAGCUAACGCA